CAAUAGCGUAUAUUUAAGUUGUUGCAGUUAAAAAGCUCGUAGUUGGAUUUCGGGUGGGACGCAGCGGUCUCGCAUUGCGUUUGUACUGCUGCAGCCCUCCUUCUUGCCGGGGGCGGCCUCUCGGACUUCACUGUCUGGGGGUCAGAAUCGGCGAUGUUACUUUGAGUAAAUUAGAGUGUUCAAAGCAAGCUUACGCUCUGAAUAUAAUAGCAUGGGAUAACACGACAGGGCUCUGGCCUAUCGUGUUGGUCUAUAGGACCAGAGUAAUGAUUAAGAGGGACAGUCGGGGGCAUUCGUAUUCCGUUGUCAGAGGUGAAAUUCUUGGAUUUACGGAAGACGAACAUCUGCGAAAGCAUUUGCCAAGGAUGUUUUCAUUGA
This 378-nucleotide ribosomal RNA is filed under the name uncultured eukaryote. Its description in RNAcentral is "partial 18S ribosomal RNA". It matches the Rfam family "Eukaryotic small subunit ribosomal RNA", at positions 592 to 976 of the family's 1831-position model. The record is from RNAcentral.